RNAcentral lists this long non-coding RNA (400 nucleotides) under Capsicum annuum. Its description in RNAcentral is "long non-coding RNA (CANN_LNC019661)". The record is from RNAcentral. Lineage: Eukaryota; Viridiplantae; Streptophyta; Magnoliopsida; Solanales; Solanaceae.
CCAAAAUCCCAUCGGGCCGGACUGGCACCCGAAGCCGAGAAGGCCCGGGAGAACCCGUUCAAAUACCUGUACUUUCACUUACAUGUCACCAAAAAUUGGACAGCACUUCGUUGCAUAUAGAAGGAUCUAAUUACCUGUAUCAGCACAACACGCACAAAUAUAUAUAUAUAUUUGGCCGUCGGGGCCACGACAUAUACAAAUAUAACAUUACUAUAUAAACUUCCAUGACUUUACCCUUCCUUAUGUCUACAAAGCCUCUAGGAUAUACAUGACAUAACUAGGGUCGGGACAAACCCCCGCCCACACAUGACUCCUGUACAAUAACAAAAUAUAAGAAACCGACUCGGAAAGCUCCGAAGCAAACUGGAGCUCACCAACAAUAGCUGUAUGACCUGGCUCC